UACGUAGGGGGGCUAGCGUUGUCCGGAAUCAUUGGGCGUAAAGCGCGUGUAGGCGGUCCGGUAAGUCCGCUGUGGAAGUCGGGGGGCUCAACCCUCGGAUGCCGGUGGAUACUGUCGGGCUUGAGUACGGAAGAGGCGAGUGGAAUUCCUGGUGUAGCGGUGAAAUGCGCAGAUAUCAGGAGGAACACCGGUGGCGAAGGCGGGUCUCUGGGCCGAUACUGACGCUGAGGAGCGAAAGCGUGGGGAGCGAACAGG
RNAcentral lists this ribosomal RNA (255 nucleotides) under uncultured bacterium. RNAcentral's name for it is "partial 16S ribosomal RNA". It matches the Rfam family "Bacterial small subunit ribosomal RNA", at positions 524 to 776 of the family's 1533-position model. The record is from RNAcentral.